This 348-nucleotide unclassified non-coding RNA is filed under the name soil metagenome. RNAcentral's name for it is "partial contains 5.8S ribosomal RNA, internal transcribed spacer 2, and large subunit ribosomal RNA". The stretch from base 1 to 120 matches the Rfam family "5.8S ribosomal RNA", at positions 35 to 154 of the family's 154-position model. The record is from RNAcentral.
GAUGAAGAACGUAGCGAAAUGCGAUAAGUAAUGUGAAUUGCAGAAUUCAGUGAAUCAUCGAGUCUUUGAACGCACAUUGCGCCCCCUGGUAUUCCGGGGGGCAUGCCUGUCCGAGCGUCAUUGCUGCCCUCAAGCACGGCUUGUGUGUUGGGCCCCCGUCCCCGGUUCUCCCCGGGGACGGGCCCGAAAGGCAGCGGCGGCACCGCGUCCGAUCCUCGAGCGUAUGGGGCUUUGUCACCCGCUCUGUAGGCCCGGCCGGCGCCAGCCGACACCCCAACUUUAUUUUCUAAGGUUGACCUCGGAUCAGGUAGUGAUACCCGCUGAACUUAAGCAUAUCAAUAAGCGGGA